AUGGUUCCUUUGGUCGCUCCCCUCCCGUUACUUGGAUAACUGUGGUAAUUCUAGAGCUAAUACAUGCCGACGAGCGCCGACCUCCGGGGACGCGUGCAUUUAUCAGACCAAAACCAACCCGGGCUCGCCCGGCGGCUUUGGUGACUCUAGAUAACCUCGAGCCGAUCGCACGCCCCCGUGGCGGCGACGACCCAUUCGAAUGUCUGCCCUAUCAACUUUCGAUGGUACUGUCUGUGCCUACCAUGGUGACCACGGGUAACGGGGAAUCAGGGUUCGAUUCCGGAGAGGGAGCC
This 293-nucleotide ribosomal RNA is filed under the name Gallus gallus (chicken). RNAcentral's name for it is "partial 18S rRNA". It matches the Rfam family "Eukaryotic small subunit ribosomal RNA", at positions 112 to 396 of the family's 1831-position model. The record is from RNAcentral. Lineage: Eukaryota; Metazoa; Chordata; Aves; Galliformes; Phasianidae.